Molecule: ribosomal RNA, 252 nt
Filed under: uncultured bacterium
Lineage: Bacteria
Description: partial 16S ribosomal RNA
Rfam family: Bacterial small subunit ribosomal RNA
Source: RNAcentral
UACGUAGGGGGCGAGCGUUAUCCGGAUUCAUUGGGCGUAAAGCGCGCGUAGGCGGCCGCCUAAGCGGAACCUCUAACCCCAGGGCUCAACCUCGGGCCGGGUUCCGGACUGGGCGGCUCGAGUGCGGUAGAGGAGAGCGGAAUUCCCGGUGUAGCGGUGGAAUGCGCAGAUAUCGGGAAGAACACCGAUGGCGAAGGCAGCUCUCUGGGCCGUCACUGACGCUGAGGCGCGAAAGCUGGGGGAGCGAACAGG